Long non-coding RNA from Globicephala melas (long-finned pilot whale), 3282 nucleotides. RefSeq lists it as uncharacterized. NCBI's taxonomy places the organism in Eukaryota, Metazoa, Chordata, Mammalia, Artiodactyla, Delphinidae. The record is from RefSeq and is a predicted model, not a curated record.
AUUUGGAGGAGCUGGCAAGACAACUAGAAAUUUCAUCCUGCAGACCUCAGUACUGAUUGAACGUUUUAUAACAAGCAUGAGAACAUUACCUGUGGUGGAGGAUAUAACUAUGGAGACUGGAGUCCCUGCCCUCAGUAAACUCACGGUCACUUGGACCCGCAAGUGCACAAGAAGAUGGGGUGGAAUAGAAAAGUGGCACUGAGCUGAUACCCAGCUUGCCAAAGUCAAGCCUGUGUCCUCACAAACUCCAGAGCUAAGCAAAGGGAGGAUGAAUCACAGAAAUACAUGGCUUUAAAGCACUGAGGUCAGGACUGUGCACCCAUUAAAAAGAACAAGGCAGAGCCAUAUGUGCUGACAGGGAGCAAGCCCAGAACACACUGGACACUGACAAAAAAUUCAAAUGGAAGUGCAAAGAUCCUGGAAGAGCCAAAACAAGUCUGGAAAAGAACAGAGUUGAAGAACUAACGGUACAUGAUUUCAAGAACUAUUAUAUAGCUACACUAUUUAAAACACCACGGUAUUGGCGUAAUGGUAGACAAAACGAUCAGUGGUAUAGAGUAGAGUGCGCAUGCGUAAAAAACUCUAGAAGGAUAUACAAAAAACUAAUGGCAUUUACUAUCUUCUCGCAGGCUGGGAGUUGGUUGGAUGAAGAGCAGGAGGGGGAGCUUUAUACAUAUUUAAUGUGUGAAUCAUGUGAAUGUAUUACCUAUUCAAAAAAUGAAAUUCAAAAGCACUUAUGCCGCUUCUUAAGGCACAGUUUAUGCUAAAUUUCGAGAGCAAAUUAUCAGGAAGUAUUGCAAAUCUUCCAUUUUGGUAAGAAAAAAAGUCAAAUUGUCCAUCAGAUCAAUUUAAGCCAAGGUUUGGAUCCUGGGGCUAUUGUUGUUUACAAAGACACUAAGUUAUUUCUGAGAACAUUAGGAAAUGUUGCGUCUGAGCAAGGUAUUUUUUAACCCUAUGCCGUGGUCACAUCUGGUCCCAAAGCAAAGAAACUCUUUAUCAAGAAAGAAGGUGAAUUUCUGGUUCCCUCCUCCAUCUGAGAUCUCAACCAACAAGACUUUUUCCUUUUCCUUCCUUUUCUUUUUUUAAUUGAAAUAUAGUUAAUUUACAAUGCUGUGUUUUCUUUUUUAAGGCAGUUUUAUCGAAGUAUGAUUGGCAGACAAUAAACUGUACACAUUUAAAGUGUAUAAUUUGAUGGUUGACAUAUGUAUUGAAAAUUGCAAAAUCUCUCAACACGAAGACUCCAUCCAAUCCCCAACACUAAGAGACUUGACCAAACUCUAACUUGGCUCCUAGUAGCCUAACGCUGUGUCCCUGGGUUGACCCAGCCCCCCUAAGUUCCUGCCUGGGAAAACCCAGGCUGCCAAAAGAAUUUACUGUUUGUUCCAGCCAAGACCUGAUAAGCCCCCAUCUCCCUUUUCUUAGAGCAUUUAUGCUAGAAAACUUGCAAUUGUAAGUCCUUUGUCCUGUCCCUUUGAGAAGUAUAUGUAUCUUCUACAACCCAGGAAUGUCUUUCUCAAACGGAGCCUUUCCUUUGAAAUGUGACCAUCAAGAAGGAUAAGGCCCCUGUCAUGCAGUCUUUGUGGGAGGGUAGGAACCAACUUCAAUAAGCACCAGUUAGCAGACACAGGUGGCAGAAUCAUAUCUCUCUCUCUUUUUUUUUGAGAGCUAUUUAAAGUAUUUGAAUAUUAAAAAUUCUAAUUUUUCAUAAAGAUGCAUUAUAAUUGCAAGGAGCUUACAAGAAUUAUCUUCCUAUUAAACAUCUCCUAGAAAAUACAUAUUCCACUAAAGCAAAGAUUACUAGCUACCCUCCAAAAUAUGCGUUACCACAUUAAUAAUGCAGAAUUUUAUUUUAGGAAGAAGCGCAUGAGGGAGAGACUUCAUUUCCCAUUCCCUUCUUUUGUUUUGCCCACAAACCGUCUGCUUGUAGAAAAUACACCCAUAAUUAUCAUUAAUAUAAUUGUCUCAGCUUUUAGCAUCCUCCUUAAUAAACACGUCAGGAUGAGGAAAUGCUAAGAAAGGCAAACCUUUGCCUGGAAUGGGCAUUACCUCUAAUCACAUCUCUUAAUGUCCUCUAGGACUUCUCCUUAGUUCACUCUGGCGUUUACUUUUUAAUUUAAUUUAAUUUAAUUUUCACCUCAAUGUUUAAAAGGCCCUCCCUACCCUCCCCAUCCAUUCCUCAACCUCAGGCAACCACCGAUGUGCUUUCUGUCCAUAUAAAUUGCAUUUCCGAGACUCCCUCCCCCAGUUUUAUUGAGAUAGAGUUGACCCACAUCACAGUAUAAAUUUAAGGUUGUUGAAGAAAAUUCAAUUGACUAUGAAGUUAAGAGGAAAAGAAGGGAAUUUUAUUAGAACCAAACUGAGAAUUAUAACCGCGGAAGCAGAUUCUCAGAAAGCUCUGAGAACUCUUCCUCCUGUUGGAAGUCGAAUACACUUUUUGAGACAAAGGGUCAUACAUCAAAAUGACAUACUGAUAUGUUACAUAAAGUUCACUAAGGAUACAUAGUCCAGGUAAGCACGUACAAAGCAAGCAGCAAGUCACCAUGACCCCCCACAGAGCUGCGAAAGAACGCUAUUCUUUAAGUUAUAUUCCUAGCAUCAGAAGAAAGAAAAAAAAAAGAUCUUUAUGGUUGAGCAGGCUCUCCCAUCUCUGAGAAGCCCUGGUUAAUGUGUAAUGCAGAUGCACACUGCACAUCAGGGAGGGAGGAGGCCCAAACAGACACACAAAGAGAAUUUUAUAUUUAAUUUGUUCUUGUCCAGUCUUAAAAUAUAAAUUUUAUUUCAUCAAGGUGCACAGCAUAAUGGUUUCAUUUACGUAUAUUGCGAAAUGAUCACCACAAUAAGUUUAGUUAACAUCCAUCAUUUCACACAGAUACAACAAAAAGAGAAAUCAAAAAGGAAAAACGUGUUUUCCUUGUGAUGAGACCUCUGAGGAUGCCCUUUCUUAACAACUUUCCUACAUAUCACACAGCAGUGUUAACUACCGUCAUCAUGCUGUACAUUACAGCCCUGGUAAUUAUUUAUCUUGUAACUGAAAGUUUGUACCUUUUGAUCACCUUUCAACAAUUCCAAUUCUAAAAAAUGUAGACUUUUAAAAUAUAUAUGGAAUCAUACAAAUAUUUAUUCUCUUUUUGUCUGGUUUCUUCACUCAGAAAAAUUGAGAGCCAUCCAUGUUGUUGUGUGUGUCAAUAGUUCAUUCCUUUUUAUUGCUGGGGAGUACUCUAUUCUGUAGAUAUAUUACAUUCUUUCUUAUCCAUUUACCCACGGAUGGGGGUAGUUUCCUGG